UACCAUUAACAGCUAAGCGCUUUAUUUACUGUCUUGUAUGCACUUAAAAGCAGGAAUUCAGCAUGAUCCUUUUAUCUGUCAUUAUAGAGGUUUAAUGGAAGAAGCUAAACUUCGAGCUUCCGUGAYGAUGGUGGUAGAAGUUAAAUUUUACUUGUGCUGCUGUGACCUCUUAGGCAUCAGUGAAAAGCCAGAACUCUUUGUUGUAAAACCCAGCAUGUGCUUGCUGGUCAAAGUCAGAAUUUAUUGUGGACACCACAUUCAUGGAAAUGAGGAACUUAAGAUUCUCUGUUUCACUUUUUUUUUUUUCUUCUUCUUUAAGAGUUAAGUACUCUUCACCUGUGUUAUUGUCUGUCCAUCUGGAAUAUAUUUCAGUCAGUGCAGAUCCUUUAUAUCAGGCAUAAAUUAUCCGGCAGAAAUGAAAUUUCGUUUGUGUCAUCUUUGAUAUUCUUAUUCCACAUCCUGUGUAGUACUCUUGCUGYGUUCCUUUGUAUAGGAUUUGGCUAGUUACCAUGAAUAUAUGCAAUAAGAAAUAUUAGAAAAAUUGAAUAAUUUCUCCAUAUGCUAACAAAAUACUUCAGAUUUCUUAUUUGUAUUCCCCUAGAGAACAUGUACCGAUAUGGGUCUCAUGUAUUACUUAGCUAUUUAUUAUAUGCACUCUAGAGCCUUCUCUUGGCCCUUUUUUCUCCUUCUUGCUGAACAAAUUCUUGUAAAUGUAUAUUCAUUAGUCUAAUUGGAUUUGCUGAUGGCUAAUUCAUCUUUGCAGUAUUCUAGAGUAGUGUGGGCCAUCUCUCUAAAGGAUUAAUACAACACCCAGCUUUUCUUCAUUUUUUUCCCCUCUUUUUGAGUCAGACUGGCCAAAUGUAAUAUGGAGUUUGGUUUGCAGGCUUCCUGUGUGACAAGAUCUCCRGGCUUCUGAUACAGUUUUGGAGCUGCUGAUCAAGAAGAACACUGUGUACGUGUAUUUUGACAUGGAGCCAUGACAGGGAUCCUACAAGGUAUUUUUAUAUAGCUACUCUUCAGAGUAUAACUACAGCCAUAUCCUAAAAGUUCAAGGAAAGUUCUAGCUCUUUAUUCUAUGGCAAUAGGAGGGAUAGCUCAUGCUCUUUCAAAAGUUAGUCUGUUGCAACAUGUUGCAAGCAAARUCUAAUUAACUUUCUUGUUAUUCUGCCAGAUGAAGAGACUUUUC
Long non-coding RNA from Nothoprocta perdicaria, 1186 nucleotides. RefSeq lists it as uncharacterized. The record is from RefSeq and is a predicted model, not a curated record. The transcript is spliced from 2 exons. Lineage: Eukaryota; Metazoa; Chordata; Aves; Tinamiformes; Tinamidae.